GGGGGCUUUUGGCCGGCCUAUCUGCAAGUCGAGCGAGGCAUAAGGAUCUUGGUCCUUUGACUGUAUAGGCGGAGGGAUGAUGCCCUUAUGUUUAACCUACCUAUUGGACUGGAAUAACUCCAGGAAACGAGGGCUAAUGCCCGAUAACUUUUAGAACCACAUGGAUCCAACGUGAAAUAAGGUUUUGCUAUCACUUAAGGCCUAACCCGCCCCCUAUUAACUACUUGGCAGAGUAACGGAUUACCCACGCUGCGAUACGUACCCGACCUGAAAGCCUGAUCGGCCACACUGGGACUGAUACUCGACCCAGACUCCUACCGUAAGCAACAAUAGGGAAUCGUCCGCAGUGGGCCAAAGCCUGACGGAGCUCCUCCACGUGAGUGAUGAAGGUCUUCGGAUCGAAAAAAUCUGUUAUUAAGGAACAACACAUGUGCAACUAACUGUGCACGUCUUGACGGUACCUAAUCAAAAACCCACGGCUAACUACAUGCCAGCAGCUUUGUUAAUACGAAGGUGGCACCUGUUAUUCGGAACUAUUGGGGGCAAAGCGAGCGUAUCCGUUGUCUCAAGGAUGAUGCGAAGGCCCUCCGCCCGUCCAUG
RNAcentral lists this ribosomal RNA (600 nucleotides) under Staphylococcus sp. DST4. RNAcentral's name for it is "bacterial SSU rRNA". It matches the Rfam family "Bacterial small subunit ribosomal RNA", at positions 31 to 617 of the family's 1533-position model. Lineage: Bacteria; Bacillati; Bacillota; Bacilli; Caryophanales; Staphylococcaceae. The record is from RNAcentral.